CUUUGAAAGAAUAUUGUGGUCGCAGGUAUUUUUUCGAGAAUUAGGGACUAGUGAUAAUUAAUUUUGUUUAUUUAUUUAAUUAUUAUGAAACAAAUAAAUAAACUAAACAUGUAGAAAACAGAAUGGAUGAUAAUUCGGACCCGAGUUCGAGUCUCGGCUAGUCCACCA
Molecule: transfer-messenger RNA, 168 nt
Filed under: Firmicutes bacterium CAG:313
Lineage: Bacteria; Bacillati; Bacillota
Rfam family: transfer-messenger RNA
About the family: Bacterial tmRNA, also known as 10Sa RNA or SsrA, is named for its dual tRNA and mRNA-like properties. Its role is to liberate the mRNA from a stalled ribosome.
Source: Rfam by way of RNAcentral